AUGUGAAUGGAUCCGGGCUGUUGGAGAUUUUGUUCUGAUCUUUUUUGAAUGAAAGUAAAUAAAAGUAAAAAAUAGAACAAAAUUAACUCGUCCUGAAUCCUAUGACACCCUAAUAGUCUCACAUCGAAUAAUUAUGGCUAGAUGUGGAAGUAUAUAAGUUUGAUCGGGCUAGACAUAAUAACUAGGUUUAAGCAUUUUUGGCCGAUGGUUAGGCCCAACGAGUUCGCCCAAAAUCUGACUAGAUGUGGGACUCUAUAAGUUUAAUUGGGCUAGACAUAAUAACUAGGCUUAAGCAUUUUGGGCCGGUGGUUGGACCCAAUGAGUUCGCCCAAAAUCUACCCCACUCUGCUAAAAAAUAAA
This 360-nucleotide long non-coding RNA is filed under the name Ananas comosus (pineapple). RNAcentral describes it as "long non-coding RNA (ACOM_LNC009223)". The record is from RNAcentral. Lineage: Eukaryota; Viridiplantae; Streptophyta; Magnoliopsida; Poales; Bromeliaceae.